RNAcentral lists this unclassified non-coding RNA (260 nucleotides) under uncultured fungus. RNAcentral's name for it is "partial contains small subunit ribosomal RNA, internal transcribed spacer 1, and 5.8S ribosomal RNA". The stretch from base 1 to 73 matches the Rfam family "Eukaryotic small subunit ribosomal RNA", at positions 1759 to 1831 of the family's 1831-position model. Lineage: Eukaryota; Fungi. The record is from RNAcentral.
GCAAACUUGGUCAUUUAGAGGAAGUAAAAGUCGUAACAAGGUUUCCGUAGGUGAACCUGCGGAAGGAUCAUUAAAGAGUUAUAGGGUGCAAACCCGAACCUCCAACCCUUUGUUGUAAUUGACUAGUUGCCUUGCCCUGGUGCUCGCGCCGGGGCAAUGGACCUAUAAACUCGAAUAUCAGUGUAGUCUGAGCUUAAAUUCAAUGAAUUAAAACUUUCAACAACGGAUCUCUUGGUUCUCGCAUCGAUGAAGAACGCAGC